CUAACGAACCGGAAGUUAGGGUUUGAAACGGAAGCGCGCCAGAGAGCGGAAGGUCGCUUCCCUUGUUUCUCUCCGGGCAACGAUGUUACAUAGACGUUGCCAGGGACUUCCUCACCGCGACGAGGGAACCAGGCCUUUCCGAGAAUGUGACCGCUGUACGGAUGCCUGCGAGUCUUGGAUGGCUUCCGUCCCUCGCCCGUUCUGCGCAUGCGUCCGCUGGCGGGUUUUUGAGUUGGGCUGUGGCUUUCCUGGUUCUUUGUCUAGAGAGAACAGGCUUUUGUCUGAGCCCACUGACAUUUCCAGGUUGUCAGUAUCUCUAGCACCCCAACUAUGAAGUAAAAAGAAAACUCAGAGAACUCACUGCCUUGUCUUUCCAGGGCUUCCCUGGUGGCACAGUGGUUAAGAAUCUGCCUGCCGAUGCAGGGGAUAUGGGUUCAAGCCCUGGUCCAGGAAGAUCCCUCAUGCCACGGAGCAACUAAGCCUGUGCACCACAACUACUGAGCCUGCAUGUAGAGCCCGCAAGCCACAACUACUGAACCCAUGUGCCACAACUACUGAAGCCCUCGUGCCUAGAGCCCAUGCUCUGCAACAAGAGAAGCCACCGCAAUGAGAAGCCUGUGCACCACAGCGAAGAGUAGCCCCCGCUCACUCCAACUAGAGAAAGCCCGCGUGCAGCAGCGAAAACCCAAUGCAGCCAAAUAUAAAUAAAUAAGUAUAUUUAUUUUAAAAAUAUAUAUCUAGGGGACUUCCCUGGCAGUCCAGUGGUUAAGACUUUGCCUUCCAAUGUAGGGGGUGCAGGUUUGAUCCCUGGUCGGGGAGCUAAGAUCCCACAUCCCUCGAGGCUGAAAAAACAGAAAACAGAAGCAAUAUUGUAACAAAUUCAAUAAAGACUUUAAAAAAUACUG
Long non-coding RNA from Lagenorhynchus albirostris (white-beaked dolphin), 905 nucleotides. RefSeq lists it as uncharacterized. NCBI's taxonomy places the organism in Eukaryota, Metazoa, Chordata, Mammalia, Artiodactyla, Delphinidae. The transcript has 3 exons. The record is from RefSeq and is a predicted model, not a curated record.